GGUGGGUCCUUAGUGCUGCUCAGGGUUGCAUGCAUUGCCCUAGUUUACGGGUCCCUAAUGUUGCCCAGGGUUGCAUGCAUUUCUGUAGUUUAUCUAACUCCCAGCCUCCUGAGUAUUGUAUACUUUCUCUUCUCGCCUCAGACCUGCAGCACCUUCCUAUUCUCACUCUAUAGAUGACCUUGGCUCCUACCUUACUGUCUAGUUUUACAGAAAGCUGAAACAGUCUGAAGAGAACAUCCACAGGUGCACACGGCUGAAUCGACCCGAUACUUGUACCUGUGUCCAGCCUGCUGUCCUGUUAACUCAGGUUAUUCCCAGCAGCCUACAAAUAUGCAUCACUUCUUCUGUGGAAAACAACAGCAACACGAUUCUUCACUCUGGGAGACCAGCUGCAUGUCCAGAAGACACUUGAGAAGCCCUGUGAAGAAGUCCAUGUGGGGAGAAGCCGAGGCCUCUUGCUCACAGCCAGUGAGGAGUUGAGGCCACAAGAGUGAAAGUGGGUCCUCCCACCCAACUCUAGCCUUCAGAUGAUGCAGCCCCAGCUGCCAUCUUGACGGCAGCCUCACGAGAGCUGUGCAGUAGAACCACCCAGCUAAGGUGCCAGAACACCUGCCUUACAGGAACUGCAAUAGAAGACAUGCUUGCUAUUUUACACUGCUAAGUUUUAUGAGUCUGGUAAAGUCCCUGCCACCUGAAAGAAGCUUCGUCUAUCUUUGUUGAGUGAGAGAAUGAUGCAGAACAAAGUGCAUGAGAGAGAGUUCUCGCUUCUUGGACCAAGUCACCGUAGGAUUCCCAUAGUUGUUUGGGGAAUGGAGCAAAGAGCAGAACUGAGUCCUGGAAGCUGGGAUGGCUCCUGGAUGGCUCGGCAUUGGAGUCUUGGCUCUCUAUAUAUUUCAUAUAGUAUUUAAAGGGAUUUUGUGGAAAUCUAAGUUUAAUGCGUGUGUGUGUGUUUCUUAAAAUAGAUGACGUCUUCACUCAAUGGUAGAACAAGCCCCAGUGGGGGCAUUGGCAUAACUAUAACUUCAACUCGGAGACAGAGAGAGAGGAAUGCAUCCCCGCUUGGAGGAAAAUCCGCUAAUUUUGUAUAAGCAGGUCUUAUUCAGCAAUCUCUGAGCUUCUUGCUUAGGAAACCAGAUUUCAAACUGCGAUUUUGUUUUCUAGUCCCUCAUGCACAUAUAUAUGGGUUACUUAUAAGCAUGCAGGGAGUGAAUGCUAGGACACUAUAGAUUGCCAAAAUGCACUUACUCGAUUUUUCUAAUGGCAUCAAAGUGGCAGCUUGACCCAAGAUCCCAGGACUUGCUCAGCAGGAAGAACAGAGACUGGCCUUUGGUAAUUCUUUGACUCAGAUGUAAGUCACUGAUUCUUGGGUGAAAGAGUCUUAUUUUUUUUCUAACAUAUUAAUCAAUUGUCUUUCACUAAAAGAUAUUGAUCUAAUGAAAAAGAAAUAGAAAUUGAUCCUGAUC
Molecule: long non-coding RNA, 1463 nt
Filed under: Equus caballus (horse)
Lineage: Eukaryota; Metazoa; Chordata; Mammalia; Perissodactyla; Equidae
Description: lncRNA (ENSECAG00000049417.1)
Source: RNAcentral